CUUUGGACUUGCAGACGAGGAGACUACACACACACUGUCCUCAUUCACUCAUACUCCCUGCUUCAGCUUUUUUUAUUUUCUGAAUUUUCUGAUCCUAUCCUUUGUCCCCUAUAUAGCACUCCAUGCACCCUCUCACACCCACUCGCACACCAAGCUCACUCUCUCUUCAUAAAGUACCACUCCAGAUGUGCUAGGAGUUGAGUUUGAUGAGACACACAAUGAUGGUUCUGAGUAUGAGUGUUCUCCUAAGUAUGAGUGUAAGUGUUUUCCUGUGUCUGGCAGGGGCCAUAGAUCUCCCUAUGUCUAAAGUCCUGGAUGGGCACACAGCUGGAAAACAUGGGAAAAGACUUUCAGUUCCCAAACACAACAGAACCCUCACACUGGCCAGCACCGGGCACCAGCACACUGGCAUCCCUAGCAUAGCCCGGCUCUCUGCCAUGGACCAAGAACUGAACAUUUCAACCAAAAGAAUCGAGAAGAAGAAGAGACCUCGCCCUGGAGAGAAAAUAAG
Non-coding RNA from Pelobates cultripes (western spadefoot toad), 511 nucleotides. The record is from the annotation of a GenBank genome assembly. NCBI's taxonomy places the organism in Eukaryota, Metazoa, Chordata, Amphibia, Anura, Pelobatidae.